GUUGACACAUCGGUUCUAACCCGAUCACCGAAGUUAAGCAACGUCGAGGCUGGACAAUACAAAGACGGGUGACCACUUGGGAAUACCAAGUGCUGUAAG
Non-coding RNA from Acanthosepion pharaonis, 99 nucleotides. NCBI's taxonomy places the organism in Eukaryota, Metazoa, Mollusca, Cephalopoda, Sepiida, Sepiidae. The record is from the annotation of a GenBank genome assembly.